RNAcentral lists this microRNA precursor (106 nucleotides) under Cricetulus griseus (Chinese hamster). RNAcentral's name for it is "miRNA (ENSCGRG00001007280.1)". The record is from RNAcentral. Lineage: Eukaryota; Metazoa; Chordata; Mammalia; Rodentia; Cricetidae.
UGCUUUUGAGGAAAAAUUUUAAUUGAAAUUGCUAGAUUAAAAUAUUUUAAUCAGGGCCGGAGAGAUGGCUCAGCCAUUAAAGGCUAGGCUCACAACCAAAAAUAUA